UAAAAACCAUUUCACUGUUACAAAACAAAACAAAACAAAAAUUUAAAUAAAUUAAUUGGCAAUUUUUUUUUUGUCUUUCUUGAUCUACCUCAUCCCUAGCUCACCCCACACGAUGCACCUAUCCAUUUCAACCCAGCCAUGAAGCUGUGUGGUCUUGACUUCUACAAAGUAGAGAGAUUAUUACCAUAUGUAGGAAGAUACUCACAAAGAGAUUUUCAUGCUCUUUAGAAUGAAGAAAUACAUCAUAAUUGUUUAAAUAAAAAUAAAAUCAAGGAUACAGACUAUUUGGGGGAUGAGAAGGAAUUGAAAAUAUGCUCGUUCAAGCAAUCCUCAAGUGGCUACCAGAUACUGUUACAGAUGCUUAAGGAGUUGACAACCAUGCAUAUGAUCACCAUCAGGGAGCUAAGAAAUUCACAUGGCUCUAGUGAAUUCUAGUCAUUAACAAGGACUGGACAACCUCUAUCCUAUUGCAGGAAGCAACUCCUGGAUGCACAGCAAUCAGAGCAAACACAACAGAGAACAAGUUACUUCAAGAGUAUUAAAUUAUAUGUUGUCAUUCAAAACAAUCGUAGACAUUUAAAAGGAAAGCUGUGUGUCAGGCAAGAAACAUAUUGGACUUUUUUUUUUUUCUUUUCAAGCAUCACUUACUGCUUAUUAGCCACAAAAUGUUGAAACAGUUUGAGAUAUAUUGUAAUUAAACUGAUGCAGUGCCU
Molecule: long non-coding RNA, 713 nt
Filed under: Zalophus californianus (California sea lion)
Lineage: Eukaryota; Metazoa; Chordata; Mammalia; Carnivora; Otariidae
Description: lncRNA (ENSZCAG00015004036.1)
Source: RNAcentral